AUUUAUAUAUUGUAGGUCCCUUGUAUUGGUACUUUGGUCUCUAACAACUAUUUACCUUAGCAUUUUCAAGAAGACAUAAUGAUGGGCAAGAAAGAUGUUUGGAUAAUUGAUCUUCAAAUUUUUUUGUUGACAUUGCAGUUAAGGGUAGAUAUCAAUCUAUGAAGAGAAGCUUUUGAGUUAAGUUUUAUGAUAGUCAAUUCCUCACUCAAAAGAAGGUUUAGGC
Long non-coding RNA from Helianthus annuus (common sunflower), 223 nucleotides. RefSeq lists it as uncharacterized. The record is from RefSeq and is a predicted model, not a curated record. NCBI's taxonomy places the organism in Eukaryota, Viridiplantae, Streptophyta, Magnoliopsida, Asterales, Asteraceae. The transcript has 3 exons.